This 232-nucleotide ribosomal RNA is filed under the name uncultured bacterium. RNAcentral's name for it is "partial 16S ribosomal RNA". It matches the Rfam family "Bacterial small subunit ribosomal RNA", at positions 524 to 754 of the family's 1533-position model. The record is from RNAcentral.
UACGUAGGAGGCAGCGUUGUCCGGAGUUACUGGGCGUAAAGCGCACGCAGGCGGUCAGAUCAGUCUGGAGUGACAGUCGUCGGCUUAACCGACGAAGUGUUCUGGAAACUGUCUGACUUGAGGGCUUCAGAGGGACACGGAAUUCCGGAUGGAGUGGUGAAAUGCGUAGAUAUCCGGAGGAACACCAAUGGCGAAGGCAGUGUCCUGGGAAGUACCGUGACGCUCAGGUGGC